GACGAACGCUGGCGGCGCGCUUAACACAUGCAAGUCGAGCGAGAACCGGGACUUCGGUCCCGGGGACAGCGGCGAACGGGUGAGUAACACGUGGGUAAUCUGCCCUCGAUUCUGGGAUAGCCCGGGGAAACCCGGAUUAAUACCGGAUAGCCUUUCGAGCCUUCGGGCGCGAAAGAAAAGGUAGCUUCGGCCUCCGAUCGAGGAUGAGCCCGCGGUGGAUUAGCUUGUUGGCGGGGUAAUGGCCCACCAAGGCGACGAUCCAUAGCUGGUCUGAGAGGACGAUCAGCCACACUGGGACUGAGACACGGCCCAGACUCCUACGGGAGGCAGCAGUGGGGAAUCUUGCGCAAUGGGCGAAAGCCUGACGCAGCGACGCCGCGUGGGGAAGAAGGCCUUAGGGUUGUAAACCUCUUUCAGGUGGGACGAAGCCACUCGGGUGAAUAGCCCAGAGGGUGACGGUACCGCCAGAAGAAGCCCCGGCUAACUACGUGCCAGCCGCCGCUGU
Molecule: ribosomal RNA, 505 nt
Filed under: uncultured bacterium
Lineage: Bacteria
Description: bacterial SSU rRNA
Rfam family: Bacterial small subunit ribosomal RNA
Source: RNAcentral